UGCGGUAUAUUGAACCCCCUACUCAAGGCCUUUAAUUUCAGAAAUUCUGGCAAUUCAAACUCUUUUAUGUAGUUAGAAUACACAAAUAAGUAGUUUGUAUGUAUUUAACUUGCUAGAAAAGAUAUUUUGAAAAUUUUACUUUGCCAUGGUAUUUUGACCCCCUGCGAUAUAUUGAACCCCUUACUCUAGACAAUUUAAAUAAUUCUGGCAAUUUUAACUCUUAUAUGUAGUUAAUAUACACCAACAAGUAGUUUGUUUGUAUUAAACUUGAUGGAAAAGAUAUUUUGAAAAUUUUACUUUGCCAUGGUAUUUUGACCCCCCUGCGGUAUAUUGAACCCCUCACUCUAGACCUUUAAUUUAAAAAGUUCUGGCAUUUCUAACUUUUCAAUGUAGUUAGAAAACACAAAAAUAAGCAUUUUUUAUGUAUUAAACUUGCUGGAAAAGUUAUUUUGAAAAUUUUACUUUGCCAUGGUAUUUUGACCCCUCUGCGGUAUAUUGAACCCCCUACUCAAGGCCUUUAAUUUCAGAAAUUCUGGCAAUUCAAACUCUUUUAUAUAGUUAGAAUACACAAAUAAGUAGUUUGUAUGUAUUUAACUUGCUAGAGAAGAUAUUUUGAAAAUUUUACUUUGCCAUGGUAUUUUGACCCCCUGCGAUAUAUUGAACCCCUUACUCUAGACAAUUCAAAAAAAUCUGGCAAUUUUAGCUCUUUUAUGUAGUUAAUAUACACACACAAGUAGUUUGUAUGUAUUAACUUUGAUGGAAAAGAUAUUUUGAAAAUUUUACUUUGCCAUGGUAUUUUGACCCCCCUGCGGUAUAUUGAACCCCUUACUAUAGACAAUUCAAAAAAAUCUGGCAAUUUUAGCUCUUUUAUGUAGUUAAUAUACACACACAAGUAGUUUGUAUGUAUUAACUUUGAUGGAAAAGAUAUUUUGAAAAUUUUACUUUGCCAUGGUAUGUUGACCCCCUGUGGUAUAUUGAACCCCUCACUCUAGACCUUUAAUUUAAAAAGUUCUAGCAUUUCUAACUUUUUAAUGUAGUUAGAAUACACAAAUAAGCAGUUUGUAUGUAUUUAACUUGCUGGAAAAGUUAUUUUGAAAAUUUUACUUUGCCAUGGUAUUUUGACCCCCUCUGCGGUAUAUUGAACCCCCUACUCAAGGCCUUGAAUUUCAGAAAUUCUGGCAAUUCAAACUCUUUUAUGUAGUUAGAAUACACAAAUAAGUAGUUUCUAUGUAUUAAAAUUGCUGGAAAAGAUAUUUUGAAAAUUUUACUUUGCCAUGGUAUUUUGACCCCCCUGCGGUAUAUUGAACCCCUUACUAUAGACAAUUCAAAAAAAAUCUGGCAAUUUUAGCUCUUAUUUGUAGUUAAUAUACACACACAAGUAGUUUGUAUGUAUUAACUUUGAUGGAAAAGAUAUUUUGAAAAUUUUACUUUGUCAUGGUAUUUUGACCCCCCUGCGGUAUAUUGAACCCCUUACUAUCAUGACUAUAGACAAUUCAAAAAAAUCUGGCAAUUUUAGCUCUUAUAUGUAGUUAAUAUACACACACAAGUAGUUUGUAUGUAUUAACUUUGAUGGAAAAGAUAUUUUGAAAAUUUUACUUUGCCAUGGUAUUUUGACCCUCUUGCGGUAUAUUGAACCCCCUACUCU
This 1645-nucleotide long non-coding RNA is filed under the name Mytilus galloprovincialis (Mediterranean mussel). Lineage: Eukaryota; Metazoa; Mollusca; Bivalvia; Mytilida; Mytilidae. The record is from RNAcentral.